Molecule: ribosomal RNA, 272 nt
Filed under: uncultured Bifidobacterium sp.
Lineage: Bacteria; Bacillati; Actinomycetota; Actinomycetes; Bifidobacteriales; Bifidobacteriaceae
Description: partial 16S ribosomal RNA
Rfam family: Bacterial small subunit ribosomal RNA
Source: RNAcentral
UCCCUGGCAGCUUGCUGUCGGGGUGAGAGUGGCGAACGGGUGAGUAAUGCGUGACCAACCUGCCCUGUGCACCGGAAUAGCUCCUGGAAACGGGUGGUAAUACCGGAUGCUCCGCUCCAUCGCAUGGUGGGGUGGGAAAUGCUUUUUGCGGCAUGGGAUGGGGUCGCGUCCUAUCAGCUUGUUGGCGGGGUGAUGGCCCACCAAGGCGUUGACGGGUAGCCGGCCUGAGAGGGUGACCGGCCACAUUGGGACUGAGAUACGGCCCAGACUCC